Molecule: ribosomal RNA, 270 nt
Filed under: uncultured bacterium
Lineage: Bacteria
Description: partial 16S ribosomal RNA
Rfam family: Bacterial small subunit ribosomal RNA
Source: RNAcentral
UACGGAGGGUGCAAGCGUUGUCCGGAAUCACUGGGCGUAAAGGGCGCGUAGGCGGCGCGGGAAGUCCGUGGUGAAAGCCCGAGGCUCAACUUCGGGUCGGCCAUGGAUACUCCUGGGCUCGAGCACUGUAGAGGCAGGUGGAAUUCCGGGUGUAGCGGUGGAAUGCGUAGAGAUCCGGAAGAACACCGGUGGCGAAGGCGGCCUGCUGGGCAGUGACCGUAAGGUCUUAAAAGCUGACGCUGAGGCGCGACAGCGUGGGGAGCAAACAGG